RNAcentral lists this ribosomal RNA (259 nucleotides) under uncultured bacterium. RNAcentral's name for it is "partial 16S ribosomal RNA". It matches the Rfam family "Bacterial small subunit ribosomal RNA", at positions 99 to 354 of the family's 1533-position model. The record is from RNAcentral.
CGGACGGGUGAGUAACGUGUGGGCAACCUGCCCUGCACUGGGGAAUAAUCAUUGGAAACGAUGACUAAUACCGCAUACGGUUCCUGGGAGGCAUCUUUCCGGGAAAGAAAAGGAUUUAUUCGGUGCAGGAUGGGCCCGCAUCUGAUUAGCUAGUUGGUGAGAUAACAGCCCACCAAGGCGACGAUCAGUAGCCGACCUGAGAGGGUGACCGGCCACAUUGGGACUGAGACACGGCCCAAACUCCUACGGGAGGCAGCAG